CUGCAGCCAUAUCUGCCGGGAUGUUUUGCUGCCGUGCUGCUGUCCCGUGUGAUCCAAUAGACCGAUGAUGUGUUAAGUCAGUUUCAAGUGCACACCCCAGCAUCACUGAUGGUAUGAGAGUAUCUGAAGUCGUAGAAGAUGAGAUGCAGGAGAGACAGAGGGACUAAACAGAAGAAUGGAGAAGGAGACGAGGAACGAAAGACAAAAAGAGGAACAAGUAGGACUCCUGCUUGUGGUUUUCUGGGCCUCGCAGUUGGAGAAUUGAAGGUCAUGGGAGAUAGCGGGGAGAUAAAUAUCGCUGGCAAUAAAAGGCCUGCAUCAUGAAUAAUAAAACAGCCGUAAUCUCGACCAAUGAUUUAUACAUCUACAGGCUCUG
Scomber japonicus (chub mackerel) is the source of this 376-nucleotide long non-coding RNA. RefSeq lists it as uncharacterized. The transcript is spliced from 3 exons. The record is from RefSeq and is a predicted model, not a curated record. NCBI's taxonomy places the organism in Eukaryota, Metazoa, Chordata, Actinopteri, Scombriformes, Scombridae.